GAUGAACGCUGGCGGCGUGCCUAAUACAUGCAAGUCGAGCGAACCACUUCGGUGGUGAGCGGCGAACGGGUGAGUAACACGUAGGUGAUCUGCCCAUCAGACGGGGACAACGAUUGGAAACGAUCGCUAAUACCGGAUAGGACGAAAGUUUAAAGGUGCUUCUGGCACCGCUGAUGGAUGAGCCUGCGGCGCAUUAGCUAGUUGGUAGGGUAAAGGCCUACCAAGGCGACGAUGCGUAGCCGACCUGAGAGGGUGAACGGCCACACUGGGACUGAGACACGGCCCAGACUCCUACGGGAGGCAGCAGUAGGAAUAUUGCACAAUGGGGGAAACCCUGAUGCAGCGACGCCGCGUGAGUGAUGAAGUAUUUCGGUAUGUAAAACUCUAUCAGCAGGGAAGAUAAUGACGGUACCUGACUAAGAAGCACCGGCUAAAUACGUG
RNAcentral lists this ribosomal RNA (441 nucleotides) under uncultured bacterium. RNAcentral's name for it is "bacterial SSU rRNA". It matches the Rfam family "Bacterial small subunit ribosomal RNA", at positions 28 to 507 of the family's 1533-position model. The record is from RNAcentral.